This 253-nucleotide ribosomal RNA is filed under the name uncultured bacterium. RNAcentral describes it as "partial 16S ribosomal RNA". It matches the Rfam family "Bacterial small subunit ribosomal RNA", at positions 524 to 776 of the family's 1533-position model. The record is from RNAcentral.
UACGAAGGGUGCAAGCGUUAAUCGGAAUUACUGGGCGUAAAGGGUGCGUAGGCGGUUUGUUAAGUCUGUUGUGAAAUCCCCGGGCUCAACCUGGGAAUGGCAAUGGAUACUGGCAAGCUAGAGUGUGUCAGAGGAUGGUGGAAUUUCCGGUGUAGCGGUGAAAUGCGUAGAGAUCGGAAGGAACAUCAGUGGCGAAGGCGGCCAUCUGGGCAUUAACUGACGCUGAGGAGCGAAAGCAUGGGGAGCGAACAGG